AACGAACGCUGGCGGCGUGCCUAACACAUGCAAGUCGUGCGAGAAAGUUCCUUCGGGAGCGAGUAAAGCGGCGCACGGGUGAGUAACACGUAGGUAACCUGCCCCCCAGUCUGGAACAACUAGAGGAAACUCUAGCUAAUGCCGGAUGAGACCACGAUCCCUUCGGGGGUUGCGGCCAAAGAUGGCCUCCACUUGUAAGCUAUCGCUGAGGGAUGGGCCUGCGGGCCAUUAGCUUGUUGGUGAGGUAACGGCUCACCAAGGCUGUGAUGGCUAGCUGGUCUGAGAGGAUGACCAGCCACACUGGGACUGAGACACGGCCCAGACUCCUACGGGAGCAGCAGUGGGAAUAUUGCGCAAUGGGCGAAAGCCUGACGCAGCGACGCCGCGUGGGUGAUGG
RNAcentral lists this ribosomal RNA (397 nucleotides) under uncultured bacterium. Its description in RNAcentral is "bacterial SSU rRNA". It matches the Rfam family "Bacterial small subunit ribosomal RNA", at positions 29 to 411 of the family's 1533-position model. The record is from RNAcentral.